This 68-nucleotide transfer RNA is filed under the name marine eukaryotic metagenome. It matches the Rfam family "tRNA". Rfam says of the family: Transfer RNA (tRNA) molecules are approximately 80 nucleotides in length. The record is from RNAcentral.
CAUAUAGCUCAGUGGUUAGAGCGUUACGUUGACAUCGUAAAGGUCGUAGGUUCGACUCCUAUUAUGCC